GAUGAACGCUAGCUACAGGCUUAACACAUGCAAGUCGAGGGGCAGCAUUUCAGUUUGCUUGCAAACUGGAGAUGGCGACCGGCGCACGGGUGAGUAACACGUAUCCAACCUGCCGAUAACUCGGGGAUAGCCUUUCGAAAGAAAGAUUAAUACCCGAUGGCAUAAUUAGACCGCAUGGUCUUAUUAUUAAAGAAUUUCGGUUAUCGAUGGGGAUGCGUUCCAUUAGGCAGUUGGUGAGGUAACGGCUCACCAAACCUUCGAUGGAUAGGGGUUCUGAGAGGAAGGUCCCCCACAUUGGAACUGAGACACGGUCCAAACUCCUACGGGAGGCAGCAGUGAGGAAUAUUGGUCAAUGGGCGCAGGCCUGAACCAGCCAAGUAGCGUGAAGGAUGACUGCCCUAUGGGUUGUAAACUUCUUUUAUAUGGGAAUAAAGUUUUCCACGUGUGGAAUUUUGUAUGUACCAUAUGAAUAAGGAUCGGCUAACUCCGUGCCAGCAGCCGCGGUAAUACGGAGGAUCCGAGCGUUAUCCGGAUUUAUUGGGUUUAAAGGGAGCGUAGGUGGACAGUUAAGUCAGUUGUGAAAGUUUGCGGCUCAACCGUAAAAUUGCAGUUGAUACUGGCUGUCUUGAGUACAGUAGAGGUGGGCGGAAUUCGUGGUGUAGCGGUGAAAUGCUUAGAUAUCACGAAGAACUCCGAUUGCGAAGGCAGCUCACUGGACUGCAACUGACACUGAUGCUCGAAAGUGUGGGUAUCAAACAGGAUUUAGAUACCCUGGUAGUCCACACAGUAAACGAUGAAUACUCGCUGUUUGCGAUAUACAGUAAGCGGCCAAGCGAAAGCAUUAAGUAUUCCACCUGGGGAGUACGCCGGCAACGGUGAAACUCAAAGGAAUUGACGGGGGCCCGCACAAGCGGAGGAACAUGUGGUUUAAUUCGAUGAUACGCGAGGAACCUUACCCGGGCUUAAAUUGCAUUUGAAUAUAUUGGAAACAGUAUAGCCGUAAGGCAAAUGUGAAGGUGCUGCAUGGUUGUCGUCAGCUCGUGCCGUGAGGUGUCGGCUUAAGUGCCAUAACGAGCGCAACCCUUAUCUUUAGUUACUAACAGGUCAUGCUGAGGACUCUAGAGAGACUGCCGUCGUAAGAUGUGAGGAAGGUGGGGAUGACGUCAAAUCAGCACGGCCCUUACGUCCGGGGCUACACACGUGUUACAAUGGGGGGUACAGAAGGCAGCUACCUGGUGACAGGAUGCUAAUCCCAAAAGCCUCUCUCAGUUCGGAUCGAAGUCUGCAACCCGACUUCGUGAAGCUGGAUUCGCUAGUAAUCGCGCAUCAGCCAUGGCGCGGUGAAUACGUUCCCGGGCCU
Molecule: ribosomal RNA, 1360 nt
Filed under: uncultured bacterium
Lineage: Bacteria
Description: bacterial SSU rRNA
Rfam family: Bacterial small subunit ribosomal RNA
Source: RNAcentral